RNAcentral lists this non-coding RNA (23 nucleotides) under Drosophila melanogaster (fruit fly). The record is from RNAcentral. Lineage: Eukaryota; Metazoa; Arthropoda; Insecta; Diptera; Drosophilidae.
UUAGAAGAUUUCAUUUUCCUGCC